RNAcentral lists this ribosomal RNA (452 nucleotides) under Clostridioides difficile. RNAcentral's name for it is "partial 23S ribosomal RNA". It matches the Rfam family "Bacterial large subunit ribosomal RNA", at positions 2473 to 2925 of the family's 2925-position model. The record is from RNAcentral. Lineage: Bacteria; Bacillati; Bacillota; Clostridia; Peptostreptococcales; Peptostreptococcaceae.
GAUAACAGGCUUAUCUCCCCCAAGAGUCCACAUCGACGGGGAGGUUUGGCACCUCGAUGUCGGCUCAUCACAUCCUGGGGCUGUAGUAGGUCCCAAGGGUUGGGCUGUUCGCCCAUUAAAGUGGUACGCGAGCUGGGUUCAGAACGUCGUGAGACAGUUCGGUCCCUAUCCGUCGCAGGCGUAGGAAAUUUGAGAAGACCUGUCCUUAGUACGAGAGGACCGGGAUGGACGUACCUCUGGUGUACCAGUUGUUCUGCCAAGGGCAUGGCUGGGUAGCUAUGUACGGAAUGGAUAAGCGCUGAAAGCAUCUAAGCGCGAAGCCAACUUCAAGAUAAGAUUUCCCACCGCAAGGGUAAGACCCCAGAAAGACUAUCUGGUUGAUAGGUCGAAGGUGUAAGUGCAGCAAUGUAUUUAGCUUAUCGAUACUAAUAGGUCGAGGACUUGACCAAAUU